This 459-nucleotide ribosomal RNA is filed under the name uncultured bacterium. RNAcentral's name for it is "partial 16S ribosomal RNA". It matches the Rfam family "Bacterial small subunit ribosomal RNA", at positions 339 to 795 of the family's 1533-position model. The record is from RNAcentral.
CUACGGGCUGCACCAGUGAGGAAUAUUGGUCAAUGGGCGCGAGCCUGAACCAGCCAUCCCGCGUGCAGGAUGACGGCCCUAUGGGUUGUAAACUGCUUUUCUAUGCCAAGAAACCUGAUUACGUGUAAUCAGUUGCCGGUAGCAUAGGAAUAAGCAUCGGCUAACUCCGUGCCAGCAGCCGCGGUAAUACGGAGGAUGCAAGCGUUAUCCGGAUUCAUUGGGUUUAAAGGGUGCGCAGGUGGGCUUGUAAGUCAGUGGUGAAAUGCUGCCGCUUAACGGUAGAACUGCCAUUGAUACUGCGAGUCUUGAGUAUGGUUGAGGUAGGCGGAAUGUGUUGUGUAGCGGUGAAAUGCAUAGAUAUGACACAGAACGCCAAUUGCGAAGGCAGCUUACUAAGCCAUUACUGACGCUGAGGCACGAAAGCGUGGGGAGCGAACAGGAUUAGAUACCCCUGUAGUC